Molecule: ribosomal RNA, 489 nt
Filed under: uncultured bacterium
Lineage: Bacteria
Description: bacterial SSU rRNA
Rfam family: Bacterial small subunit ribosomal RNA
Source: RNAcentral
AUGAACGCUAGCUACAGGCUUAACACAUGCAAGUCGAGGGGCAGCGGGAUUGAAGCUUGCUUCAAUUGCCGGCGACCGGCGCACGGGUGAGUAACGCGUAUCCAACCUUCCGUACACUCAGGGAUAGCCUUUCGAAAGAAAGAUUAAUACCUGAUGGUAUGAUGAGAUUGCAUGAUAGCAUCAUCAAAGAUUUAUCGGUGAUGGAUGGGGAUGCGUCUGAUUAGCUUGUUGGCGGGGUAACGGCCCACCAAGGCGACGAUCAGUAGGGGUUCUGAGAGGAAGGUCCCCCACAUUGGAACUGAGACACGGUCCAAACUCCUACGGGAGGCAGCAGUGAGGAAUAUUGGUCAAUGGGCGAGAGCCUGAACCAGCCAAGUAGCGUGCAGGAUGACGGCCCUAUGGGUUGUAAACUGCUUUUAUAAGGGAAUAAAGUGAGUCUCGUGAGACUUUUUGCAUGUACCUUAUGAAUAAGGACCGGCUAAUUCCGUG